This 566-nucleotide ribosomal RNA is filed under the name uncultured bacterium. RNAcentral describes it as "partial 16S ribosomal RNA". It matches the Rfam family "Bacterial small subunit ribosomal RNA", at positions 356 to 914 of the family's 1533-position model. The record is from RNAcentral.
UGGGAAUUUUGGACAAUGGGCGAAANCCUGAUCCAGCAAUGCCGCGUGUGUGAAGAAGGCCUUCGGGUUGUAAAGCACUUUUGUCCGGAAAGAAAUCCUUGGCUCUAAUACAGUCGGGGGAUGACGGUACCGGAAGAAUAAGCACCGGCUAACUACGUGCCAGCAGCCGCGGUAAUACGUAGGGUCAAGCGUUAAUCGGAAUUACUGGGCGUAAAGCGUGCGCAGGCGGUUUGCUAAGACCGAUGUGAAAUCCCCGGGCUCAACCUGGGAACUGCAUUGGUGACUGGCAGGCUAGAGUAUGGCAGAGGGGGGUAGAAUUCCACGUGUAGCAGUGAAAUGCGUAGAGAUGUGGAGGAAUACCGAUGGCGAAGGCAGCCCCCUGGGCCAAUACUGACGCUCAUGCACGAAAGCGUGGGGAGCAAACAGGAUUAGAUACCCUGGUAGUCCACGCCCUAAAACGAUGUCAACUAGUUGUUGGGGGAUUCAUUUCCUUAGUAACGUAGCUAACGCGUGAAGUUGACCGCCUGGGGAGUACGGUCGCAAGAUUAAAACUCAAAUGAAUUGAC